RNAcentral lists this ribosomal RNA (889 nucleotides) under Curtobacterium sp. EPI-B9. Its description in RNAcentral is "bacterial SSU rRNA". It matches the Rfam family "Bacterial small subunit ribosomal RNA", at positions 37 to 924 of the family's 1533-position model. Lineage: Bacteria; Bacillati; Actinomycetota; Actinomycetes; Micrococcales; Microbacteriaceae. The record is from RNAcentral.
GGGCCGGCGGGCUUUACACAUGCAAAGUCGAACGAUGAUCAGGAGCUUGCUCCUGUGAUUAGUGGCGAACGGGUGAGUAACACGUGAGUAACCUGCCCCUGACUCUGGGAUAAGCGUUGGAAACGACGUCUAAUACUGGAUAUGAUCACUGGUCGCAUGGCCUGGUGGUGGAAAGAUUUUUUGGUUGGGGAUGGACUCGCGGCCUAUCAGCUUGUUGGUGAGGUAAUGGCUCACCAAGGCGACGACGGGUAGCCGGCCUGAGAGGGUGACCGGCCACACUGGGACUGAGACACGGCCCAGACUCCUACGGGAGGCAGCAGUGGGGAAUAUUGCACAAUGGGCGAAAGCCUGAUGCAGCAACGCCGCGUGAGGGAUGACGGCCUUCGGGUUGUAAACCUCUUUUAGUAGGGAAGAAGGGAGCUUCGGUUCUUGACGGUACCUGCAGAAAAAGCACCGGCUAACUACGUGCCAGCAGCCGCGGUAAUACGUAGGGUGCAAGCGUUGUCCGGAAUUAUUGGGCGUAAAGAGCUCGUAGGCGGUUUGUCGCGUCUGCUGUGAAAUCCCGAGGCUCAACCUCGGGCUUGCAGUGGGUACGGGCAGACUAGAGUGCGGUAGGGGAGAUUGGAAUUUCCUGGUGUAGCGGUGGAAUGCGCAGAUAUCAGGAGGAACACCGAUGGCGAAGGCAGAUCUCUGGGCCGUAACUGACGCUGAGGAGCGAAAGCAUGGGGAGCGAACAGGAUUAGAUACCCUGGUAUCCAUGCCGUAAACGUUGGGCGCUAGAUGUAGGGACCUUUUCCUCGGUUUCUGUGUCUUACCUAACGCAUUUAGCCCCCCGCCUGGGGAGUUACGGUCCUCAGGUCUAAAACUCAAGGAAUUUGACGGGGCCCGC